RNAcentral lists this small nuclear RNA (103 nucleotides) under Rhodnius prolixus. Lineage: Eukaryota; Metazoa; Arthropoda; Insecta; Hemiptera; Reduviidae. The record is from RNAcentral.
UUGUACCGUUUACUAGGAAUUUAUUAUUGUAACGAUUCAGAGAAGAUUAGCACAGUCUCUGCGCAAGGAUGACCAUCCAUUAGCUCAGUGGCAACUGUCUUUC